CUCCUAAAGAGUAACGGAGGAGCACGAAGGUUGGCUAAUCCUGGUCGGACAUCAGGAGGUUAGUGCAAUGGCAUAAGCCAGCUUGACUGCGAGCGUGACGGCGCGAGCAGGUGCGAAAGCAGGUCAUAGUGAUCCGGUGGUUCUGAAUGGAAGGGCCAUCGCUCAACGGAUAAAAGGUACUCCGGGGAUAACAGGCUGAUACCGCCCAAGAGUUCAUAUCGACGGCGGUGUUUGGCACCUCGAUGUCGGCUCAUCACAUCCUGGGGCUGAAGUAGGUCCCAAGGGUAUGGCUGUUCGCCAUUUAAAGUGGUACGCGAGCUGGGUUUAGAACGUCGUGAGACAGUUCGGUCCCUAUCUGCCGUGGGCGCUGGAGAACUGAGGGGGGCUGCUCCUAGUACGAGAGGACCGGAGUGGACGCAUCACUGGUGUUCGGGUUGUCAUGCCAAUGGCACUGCCCGGUAGCUAAAUGCGGAAGAGAUAAGUGCUGAAAGCAUCUAAGCACGAAACUUGCC
RNAcentral lists this ribosomal RNA (512 nucleotides) under Escherichia coli. Its description in RNAcentral is "partial 23S ribosomal RNA". It matches the Rfam family "Bacterial large subunit ribosomal RNA", at positions 2287 to 2798 of the family's 2925-position model. Lineage: Bacteria; Pseudomonadati; Pseudomonadota; Gammaproteobacteria; Enterobacterales; Enterobacteriaceae. The record is from RNAcentral.